CCCUUAGAUGUCCUGGGCCGCACGCGCGCUACACUGGUCGAUGCAACGAGUUUCUUUCCUUGGCCGACAGGCCUGGGCAAUCUUUGAACAUCGAUCGUGAUCGGGAUAGAUUCUUGUAAUUUUUGAUCUUAAACGAGGAAUUCCUAGUAAACGCAAGUCAUCAGCUUGCAUUGAUUACGUCCCUGCCCUUUGUACACACCGCCCGUCGCACCUACCGAUUGAAUGGUCCGGUGAAAUCUCCGGACUGGCGUGAGUCGGAGCAAUCUGACAAACGCCGGAAAGUUGAUUAAACCUUACCAUUUAGAGGAAGGUGAAGUCGUAACA
Molecule: ribosomal RNA, 324 nt
Filed under: uncultured eukaryote
Lineage: Eukaryota
Description: partial 18S ribosomal RNA
Rfam family: Eukaryotic small subunit ribosomal RNA
Source: RNAcentral